CCUACGUGAGGCAGCAGUGGGGAAUAUUGCGCAAUGGGCGAAAGCCUGACGCAGCGACGCCGCGUGAGGGAUGAAGGUCUUCGGAUCGUAAACCUCUGUCAGCAGGGAAGAACGGUCACUGUGCUAAUCAGCAGUGAAUUGACGGUACCUGCAAAGGAAGCACCGGCUAACUCCGGGCCAGCAGCCGCGGUAAUACGGAGGGUGCGAGCGUUAAUCGGAAUUACUGGGCGUAAAGCGCUCGUAGGCGGUAUGUCAAGUCAAGGGUGAAAUCCCCGCGCGCAACGUGGGAACUGCCUGUGAAACUGGCAAACUGGAGUGUGUGAGAGGAUAGUGGAAUUCCAGGUGUAGGAGUGAAAUCCGUAGAUAUCUGGAGGAACAUCAGUGGCGAAGGCGACUAUCUGGCACAUAACUGACGCUGAGGAGCGAAAGCGUGGGUAGCAAACAGGAUUAGAUACCCUUGUAGUC
Molecule: ribosomal RNA, 465 nt
Filed under: uncultured bacterium
Lineage: Bacteria
Description: partial 16S ribosomal RNA
Rfam family: Bacterial small subunit ribosomal RNA
Source: RNAcentral